Molecule: ribosomal RNA, 253 nt
Filed under: uncultured bacterium
Lineage: Bacteria
Description: partial 16S ribosomal RNA
Rfam family: Bacterial small subunit ribosomal RNA
Source: RNAcentral
UACAUGUGGGGCAAGCGUUGUUCGGAAUUAUUGGGCGUAAAGGGCGCGUAGGCGGCGCGGUAUGUCACCUGUGAAAUCUCCUGGCUCAACUGGGAGAGGACGUUCAAGACUGUCGGACUAGAGGACGGUAGAGGAAGGUAGAAUUCCCGGUGUAGUGGUGAAAUGCGUAGAUAUCGGGAGGAAUACCAGUGGCGAAGGCGGCCUUCUGGGCCGUUCCUGACGCUCAGACGCGAAAGCUAGGGGAGCAAACGGG